ACUGUGCGGGCCUGCGGCGGCCUGAGGCCAUCCCUGUUGAACGGGGGCCCCCGUACUUAGGCUUAGCCUACGAACCAGAGGAAGCGUUUUCCACUUGCCGAACAGCUCGCAUCGCACUGAGGCCGCGAGGGGUGCUAUGUUCGAGCUUAUUAGCCAUGCUAGGCAAGCGUACAUGGCCUACGGAUGAUGUGCUUUGAAGUGCAAAUUCGUUCCAUGUGCUCCUGUGGCUGUGAGAUUUGGCGACCUGACGCGCUCUGUCACAAAAUCGCUAAGUGCCG
This 278-nucleotide long non-coding RNA is filed under the name Volvox carteri. RNAcentral describes it as "long non-coding RNA (VCAR_LNC000767)". The record is from RNAcentral. Lineage: Eukaryota; Viridiplantae; Chlorophyta; Chlorophyceae; Chlamydomonadales; Volvocaceae.